RNAcentral lists this ribosomal RNA (501 nucleotides) under Staphylococcus epidermidis NIHLM015. Its description in RNAcentral is "bacterial SSU rRNA". It matches the Rfam family "Bacterial small subunit ribosomal RNA", at positions 1 to 482 of the family's 1533-position model. Lineage: Bacteria; Bacillati; Bacillota; Bacilli; Caryophanales; Staphylococcaceae. The record is from RNAcentral.
UUUUUAUGGAGAGUUUGAUCCUGGCUCAGGAUGAACGCUGGCGGCGUGCCUAAUACAUGCAAGUCGAGCGAACAGACGGGGAGCUUGCUCCUCUGACGUUAGCGGCGGACGGGUGAGUAACACGUGGAUAACCUACCUAUAAGACUGGGAUAACUUCGGGAAACCGGAGCUAAUACCGGAUAAUAUAUUGAACCGCAUGGUUCAAUAGUGAAAGACGGUUUUGCUGUCACUUAUAGAUGGAUCCGCGCCGCAUUAGCUAGUUGGUAAGGUAACGGCUUACCAAGGCAACGAUGCGUAGCCGACCUGAGAGGGUGAUCGGCCACACUGGAACUGAGACACGGUCCAGACUCCUACGGGAGGCAGCAGUAGGGAAUCUUCCGCAAUGGGCGAAAGCCUGACGGAGCAACGCCGCGUGAGUGAUGAAGGUCUUCGGAUCGUAAAACUCUGUUAUUAGGGAAGAACAAAUGUGUAAGUAACUAUGCACGUCUUGACGGUACCUAA